CAGUAGCCGCGGUAAAACGUAGGGUGCAGGCGUUAAUCGGAAUUACUGGGCGUAAAGCGUGCGCAGGCGGUUAUAUAAGUCAGAUGUGAAAUCCCCGGGCUCAACCUGGGAACUGCAUUUGAGACUGUAUGGCUAGAGUGUGUCAGAGUGGGGUAGAAUUCCACGUGUAGCAGUGAAAUGCGUAGAUAUGUGGAGGAAUACCGAUGGCGAAGGCAGCCCCCUGGGAUAACACUGACGCUCAUGCACGAAAGCGUGGGGAGCAAACAGGAUUAGAGACCCCUGUAGUCCCUGUCUCUUAUAC
RNAcentral lists this ribosomal RNA (301 nucleotides) under uncultured bacterium. RNAcentral's name for it is "partial 16S ribosomal RNA". It matches the Rfam family "Bacterial small subunit ribosomal RNA", at positions 509 to 807 of the family's 1533-position model. The record is from RNAcentral.